RNAcentral lists this transfer RNA (73 nucleotides) under Molorchus minor. RNAcentral describes it as "tRNA-Asp". It matches the Rfam family "tRNA". From Rfam's summary of the family: Transfer RNA (tRNA) molecules are approximately 80 nucleotides in length. Their secondary structure includes four short double-helical elements and three loops (D, anti-codon, and T loops). Further hydrogen bonds mediate the characteristic L-shaped molecular structure. tRNAs have two regions of fundamental functional importance: the anti-codon, which is responsible for specific mRNA codon recognition, and the 3' end, to which the tRNAs corresponding amino acid is attached (by aminoacyl-tRNA synthetases). tRNAs cope with the degeneracy of the genetic code in two manners: having more than one tRNA (with a specific anti-codon) for a particular amino acid; and 'wobble' base-pairing, i.e. permitting non-standard base-pairing at the 3rd anti-codon position. Lineage: Eukaryota; Metazoa; Arthropoda; Insecta; Coleoptera; Cerambycidae. The record is from RNAcentral.
UCCUCGGUAGUAUAGUGGUCAGUAUCCCCGCCUGUCACGCGGGAGACCGGGGUUCGAUUCCCCCGCCGGGGAG